CUUUAACAAUCCGGAACAAGCUGAAAAUUUGAAACGACGCAUUGUCGUGUUCCUCCGUAAUAAGGAACACAGCACAACGCGUUCGAGUCUCUCAAAAGCUUACAGCUUACAAGCUAACUGUGAAGCCGUUAC
RNAcentral lists this small RNA (132 nucleotides) under Pantoea ananatis. RNAcentral describes it as "Salmonella enterica Typhi npcRNA 44". Lineage: Bacteria; Pseudomonadati; Pseudomonadota; Gammaproteobacteria; Enterobacterales; Erwiniaceae. The record is from RNAcentral.